RNAcentral lists this ribosomal RNA (498 nucleotides) under uncultured bacterium. RNAcentral describes it as "partial 16S ribosomal RNA". It matches the Rfam family "Bacterial small subunit ribosomal RNA", at positions 28 to 507 of the family's 1533-position model. The record is from RNAcentral.
GACGAACGCUGGCGGCGUGCCUAAUACAUGCAAGUCGAACGAGAGCGCCCGGUGCUUGCACUGGUCAAUCUAGUGGCGAACGGGUGAGUAACACGUGGGUAACCUGCUCAUCAGAGGGGGAUAACAUCCGGAAACGGAUGCUAAAACCGCAUAGGUCUUCGAGCCGCAUGGCUUGAAGAGGAAAAGAGGCGCACGCUUCUGCUGAUGGAUGGACCCGCGGUGCAUUAGCUAGUUGGUGAGGUAACGGCUCACCAAGGCCGUGAUGCAUAGCCGACCUGAGAGGGUGAUCGGCCACAUUGGGACUGAGACACGGCCCAAACUCCUACGGGAGGCAGCAGUAGGGAAUCUUCCGCAAUGGACGCAAGUCUGACGGAGCAACGCCGCGUGAGUGAAGAAGGUUUUCGGAUCGUAAAACUCUGUUGUUAGAGAAGAACAAGUGCUAGAGUAACUGUUAGCGCCUUGACGGUAUCUAACCAGAAAGCCACGGCUAACUACGUG